This 78-nucleotide microRNA precursor is filed under the name Fukomys damarensis (Damara mole-rat). RNAcentral's name for it is "miRNA (ENSFDAG00000020717.1)". The record is from RNAcentral. Lineage: Eukaryota; Metazoa; Chordata; Mammalia; Rodentia; Bathyergidae.
CCUAGAACUCACUAUGUAGCCCAGGCUGGUUUUGAACUCACAGAGAUCCUCCUGCCUCAGCCUCCGGAGUGCUAGGAU